AGUGAACGCUGGCGGUAGGCCUAACACAUGCAAGUCGAACGGCAGCACAGUAAGAGCUCGCUCUUACGGGUGGCGAGUGGCGGACGGGUGAGGAAUACAUAGGAAUCUACUUUUUCGUGGGGGAUAACGUAGGGAAACUUACGCUAAUACCGCAUACGACCUACGGGUGAAAGCAGGGGAUCUUCGGACCUUGCGCGAUUGAAUGAGCCGAUGUCGGAUUAGCUAGUUGGCGGGGUAAAGGCCCACCAAGGCGACGAUCCGUAGCUGGUCUGAGAGGAUGAUCAGCCACACUGGAACUGAGACACGGUCCAGACUCCUACGGGAGGCAGCAGUGGGGAAUAUUGGACAAUGGGCGCAAGCCUGAUCCAGCCAUACCGCGUGGGUGAAGAAGGCCUUCGGGUUGUAAAGCCCUUUUGUUGGGAAAGAAAAGCAGCAGGUUAAUACCCCGCUGUUCUGACGGUACCCAAAGAAUAAGCACCGGCUAACUUCGUG
This 492-nucleotide ribosomal RNA is filed under the name uncultured bacterium. Its description in RNAcentral is "partial 16S ribosomal RNA". It matches the Rfam family "Bacterial small subunit ribosomal RNA", at positions 29 to 507 of the family's 1533-position model. The record is from RNAcentral.